UGUAUGCUGCUGCAUACAUUAUGUAAUAUGCCAGCUAAGAAAGUAAUACUAAGAAUAUGUUGUGUAGUAAGCUGUUAGUAGGCCAUGUGCUUCACCCUAAUAAUUUGGUUCGUUCCCCCCUCAUAUCUUAGCCUACUGUUCUAACUUGGUGGUGCACAUGUAGUCUAUAACCUGUUUUUGAGAAAUGUAAUUGAAUAUUGUAAGAGCUUUAAUUGUCUGCAUAUAUGCCCCCUUUAUCCUACGGUUCUGACUUAGUGUACAUGGAGAACACUAAGAACGGCCCAUGAUUAAAGGAUUUGAGAUAUAUAUAUAUAUCUUUAAAUACUUGUAACUUUCACCUUUUAUUUCUAAUCCUUUUUUAGCCGCACUGUUGGUUAGGGGGCUCGUAAGUAAGCGUUUCACUGUUGUAUUUGGCGCAUGUGACAAAUACAAUUUGAUGGUCUGAAUUCGGUUGCUGUACAUUUCAAAAGUGCUGAACAAAUAGUUAUAUUGACUACAUCCGUCCUAACUCACUCAUUAAUGUCUUAAUCAAAAUUACAGAAUGCCUCUUAUCCGCUUGUCUUCCCCUUAUGCCUUAGCUUGUACAUCUCAAUUGUCAGAAGAAUCCACAUUUGUUUAAGUCAGCCAGCCAUGUAAAUGAGGCUGAAUGAAGUGCUUCGCUGCCAGACAAGGAAGGCACCGCUGAUAGCCAGGUGUAGCAGUGGUAUAGUGCAAUUACUGUAUUGUUUAGUGUUGUGACAUGCAUCCCAUCCCACCCAAUUAUUUAUUUUUUGCCCCACCAAAUUUAAUAAAAUCGCCAAUCGCCAAUUUACUAAAAUGCUAAAAUCGCCACUGGAGAGGAUAGUGGAUAUGCAUUGACCUAUAUUUUGUUAUGCAAAUAAAGUUGUAAGCCAAAACACAUCCCAAACCAUUUGCAGUUGUUUUCACAUAAUAGUAAACCAAUUGCUUGCUAUAAGUCGCUCUGGAUAAGAGCGUCUGCUAAAUGACUUAAAUGUAAUGUAAAUGUAUACAAUAACCACUUGUGUAGACGUCGUUGCGACAUGGUAUGAAUUUACAAAUUCUGUACUUAGACCACCUGGACAACAAAGUUAACCAUCAAAUACAUUGUAACAUCUUCCUUCUCUUUGUCAACAUAUUGCAGUAAGACAACGUGGGAAAAUAAGUAAUGUUAGCUAUUGUAAUCAACAAAGUUAACCUUAAUGAACCCAAGCUUAAUUGCAAUAAGGUACGUGACCGGUGCAGAAGAUGACAGAUGGGCCGUCACACGACAUCGCUCAAUGCCUGACACUCACGAAAAGUAAAGGAGAAAACAAGACCAAAACAGAAAUGUGCCUAGUCUAUCAACGUUGCUACAUUUUGGUGCAAGACCUUCCUCAAGCCUUCAAAUGUUCCUGUGUCCCUCAACUGAAGACAUCAAGGGGGUCCCGGCGUACUCUGUUCGAUCCAUAUUGGAUUCGAGACGUCGGGCGAGGGGCCUUCAGUACCUCGUGGACUGGCAGGGGUACGGGCCAGAGGAGAGAUGCUGGGUUCCGGUGGAGGCCGUGUUAGAUCCUUCCAUGUUAAAAGAAUUCCAGUUCCCAUCCGGAUUGCCCUGCACCUCGCCCUUCGGGUCGUCCUCGAGGCCGGUGUCGACGCGCCCGGAGUCGUUGCCUCUCCUUGUUCGGGCGGUGCUCGGCGGUCUACGUCACCGGUCUUCUAGCCAUCAUUGAUCCAUUUUUCAUUGGUUUUGUCUUGUCUUCCUACACACCUGGUUUCAAUCCAAUUCAUUACCUGUUGUGUAUUUAACCCUCGGUUUCCCCUCAUGUCUUUGUCAGAGAUUGUUUUAUGUCAGUGUUGUUUAUGUUUGUAUAGGUGCGCGACGGGUCCUCGUACCCAUGUUUAUUAUGUAUGUACAUUUAGUGUUUGGAGCAUGUUUAGUGGACAUAUAUUAAAAGGACUCCAUCACACUCGUUUUACACUCCUGCGCCUGACUUCCCUGCCACCGAUAUACACGACUGACACAUUUACUUUUUCCAGAUUUUGUUGUGCUACAAAGUGGGAUAAAAAUGUAUUGAAUUGUCAUUUUUUUUGUCAACGAUCUACACAAACUCCUCUAUUUUAUAAAUUAAACAAAAUAUAUAAAUAUAAUAUAUAAAAUAUAUCUUCAUUAGAUAAACCACAUGAGUCAAUACAUGUUAGAUUCAACUUUGGCAGCGAUUACAGCUGUGAGUCUUUCUGGGUAAGUCUUUAAGAGCUUUCCACACCUGGAUUGUACAACAUUUUCCUAUUCUUUUCAAAAUUCUUCAAGCUCUGUCAAAUUGGCUGUUUAUCAUUGCUAGACAACCAUUUUCGGGUCUUGCUAUAGAUUUUCAAACAGAUUUAAGUCAAAACUGUAACUCGGCCACUGACUUCUUGGUCAGAAACUAAAACCGUAAACGCCCGUGUUCAGGUCUAUUCAACGCUGGUCAGACCAAUCAGACUACACACUUCAAGAUAGCUUCGAUCACGUGGACUGGGAUAUGUUCCGGAUAGCCUCAGACAACAACAUUGAUGUAUAUGCUGAUUCAGUGUGCGAGUUUAUUAGCAAGUGUAUCGGUGAUGUUGUACCCACGGUGACUAAAACCUUCCCCAACCAGAAACUGUGGAUUGAUGGCAGCAUUCGUGCAAAACUGAAAGUGCGAACCACUGCUUUUAAUAAAAAAAAAUAAUAAUAAAUCAUGGCAAAGCGACCGAAAACAUGACCGACUACAGUGUAGCUAUUCCCUCCGUGAGGGAAUCAAACAAGCUAAGCAUCAAUAUAGAUACAAAGUAAAGUCUCAAUUCAACGGCUCAGACACGAGACGUAUGUGGCAGAGUCUACAGACAAUCACGGAUUACAAAAGGAAAACCAGCCCCGUCACGGACACCGACGUCUUGCUCCCAGACAAAUUAAAUAACUUAUUUGCUUUGCUUUGAGAACAAUACAGUGCCACUGACACGGCCCACUACCAAAACCUGCAGGCUCUCACCGCGGCCAACGUGAGCAAAACAAACCCUCGCAAGGCUGCCUGCCCAGACGGCGUCCUCAGAUCAUGCGCAGACCAGCUGGCUGGUGUGUUUACCGAGAUAUUCAAUCAAUCCCUAUCCCAGUCUGCUGUUCCCACAUGCUUCAAGAGGGCCACCAUUGUUCCCUUUCCCAAGAAAGCUAAGGUAACUGAACUAAAUGACUAUCGCCCCGUAGCACUCACUUCCGUCAUCAUGAAGUGCUUUGAGAGACUAGUCAAAGAUCAUAUCAACUCCACCCUACCUGACACCUUAGACCCACUCCAAUUUGCAUACCUCCCCAAUAGGUCCACAGACCAUGCAAUCGCUAUCACACUGCCCUAACCCAUCUGGACAAGAGGAAUAUCUAUGUAAGAAUUCUGUUCAUCGAUUAAAGCUCAGCAUUUAAUACCAUAGUACCCUUCAAACUCGUCAUUCAGCUCGAGACCCCGCCCUGGUCCUGGACUUUCUGACGGGCUGCCCCCAGGUGGUGAGGGUAGGAAACAUCUCCACCCCGCUGAUCCUCAACAUUGGGGCCCCACAAGGGUGCAUUCUCAGCCCUGUUCACCCACGACUGCGUGGCCAUGCAUGCCUCCAAUUCAAUCAUCAAGUUUGCAGACAACACUACAGUGGUAGGCUUGAAUACCAACAACGACGAGACAGCCUACAGGGAGGAGGUGAGGGUCCUCGGAGUGUGGUGUCAGGAAAAUAACCUCACACUCAAUGUCAACAAAACAAAGGAGAUGAUCGUGGACUUCAGGAAACAGCAGAGGGAGCAGCCCCCUAUCCACAUCGACGGGACAGUAGUGGAGAAGGUGGAAAGUUAAGUUCCUCGACGUACACAUCACGGACAAACUGAAAUGGUCCACCCACACAGACAGCGUGAUGAAGAAGGCGCAGCAGCUCCUCUUCAACCUCAGGAGCCCGAAGAAAUGCGGCUUAUCACCGAAAACACACAAACUUUUACAGAUGCACAAUCGAGAGCAUCCUGUCGGGGUGAAUCACGCCUGGUACGGCAACUGCUCCACCCACGACCGUAAGGCUCUCCAGAGGGUAGUGAGGUCUGCACAACGCAUCACCGGGAGCGAACUACCUGCCCUCCAGGACACCUACACCACCCGAGCCACCGCCUGUUCACCCCACUAUCAUCCAGAAGGCGAGGUCAGUACAGGUGCAUCAAAGCGGGGACAGAAAGACUGAAAAACAGCUUCUAUCUCAAGGCCAUCAGGCCAUCAGACUGUUAAACAGCCACCACUAACAUUGAGUGGCUACUGCCAACAUACUGACUUAACUCUCUCGCCACUUCAAUAAUAAAAAAAAUGGGACUAGUCACUUUAAACAAUGCCACUUUAUAUAAUGUUUACUUACCCUACAUUACUCAUCUCAUAUGUAUAUACUCUAUUCUAUACCAUCUACUCUUCUUGCAUAUGCGGCACGACCAUCACUCAUCCAUAUAUUUAUAUGUACAUAUUCUUAUUCAUUCCUUUACACUUGUGUGUAUUAGGUAGUUGUUGUGAAAUUGUUAUUUUGUUAUAUUACUUGUUAGAUAUUACUGCAUUAUUAUUACUACUACACUCGCAUUAACAUCUGCUAACCAUGUGUAUUUGACCAAUAAAAUUUGAUUUGAUUUGACGUUA
This is a long non-coding RNA of Oncorhynchus keta (chum salmon), 4637 nucleotides long. RefSeq lists it as uncharacterized. NCBI's taxonomy places the organism in Eukaryota, Metazoa, Chordata, Actinopteri, Salmoniformes, Salmonidae. The record is from RefSeq and is a predicted model, not a curated record. The transcript has 3 exons.